Molecule: unclassified non-coding RNA, 364 nt
Filed under: Hevea brasiliensis (rubber tree)
Lineage: Eukaryota; Viridiplantae; Streptophyta; Magnoliopsida; Malpighiales; Euphorbiaceae
Source: RNAcentral
AAAAAAAAAAGAAUAGGAUCAAAGGGAAAAAAAAGAGUUGAACAAUGUUCGCGGAAAAAUGAUACAUGCACCCUAACUGUCACUGGUUUCACCAUCUCUUCACAGCAUCUUAAUGAGGUUUCAACAAUGGAAAGAAAAAGUAUCACAUGACUGAUUUACAUGCUUCAUUCCAUAUCAUCCGCUCACACCAUUGUAGCAGAAAGAACUAUAAGCUCGAAAGAGGCUCACAACAUAUGAAGCAGUUAGGAGGACCUUCUGCACAGAAAUCAAUAGAUUUGCCCAAUUGCAUUAUAGGAAGUAAUCGGGUGUUCUUCGGGUUACAUCUGGCUCCCCUCUCCUGGGAGCUGGUUCAAACUGAAUGAAU